This is a long non-coding RNA of Octopus bimaculoides (California two-spot octopus), 890 nucleotides long. The record is from RefSeq and is a predicted model, not a curated record. NCBI's taxonomy places the organism in Eukaryota, Metazoa, Mollusca, Cephalopoda, Octopoda, Octopodidae.
GAGGACAGAUCUACAACCAAAGACUUCCAGUAUAACCAUGUAACUUUAUAACAUAAAUCUAUAUGAGGGUCGGAUGGGAGCAACUCCAAAGGUUUGAAAACGGUCAGAAAAAUUGUGACGUUUAAUAGAAUUAAGAUGCUGAUUAGAAUGUUGCAGGAAAAGAAUCGCAAGACGGAUUCUUCAAGUUGAAUGAACCGGAAGGAGACCAAGGGGUUGACCAAGAACAAGAUGGUUGGCUAAUAUCCAUACUCUUGGUUGGUCACAGUUGACUAUCCAGCUGGGAAGUCCAUUGAUGGUUACUUCUGAUAGGACGCUCUGGAGAAGGUGACUGAAGACUGUAUCCCUACUGCCCUUCUAGGAAUAGAUAAAGAUGUAUCAGAUGUGGCUGCGUGGUAAGAAAUUGCUUCCCAACCACAUGGUUCCGGGUUCAGUCCCACUACGGGAAACCUAAGUUUUCUUAGAAAUUGUUUAGGAGCGUUUAUCCUCAGGAUGCCAUAUUGAAUGUAUGGUGUGUUUCAGUUUCGUUUAUGGACAGUGAAUACAUAACAACAAAUAGCAAUUUGCUCUCAUGCCUGUCACUACAUAUUCUCUUCUCUACAAGAACGGAACAAAUGUUUUCUAGACUGAUCAUCACAAGAAAUCCAUUUUAUCUGCCAAGAAAUUUUCACAGUUUUCACAAAUUGUUGAAUAACACUUAAUCUAGUUGCUGCACAUGAAUUUUGGAGCAAGACAGAAAUCGAAGCUUGCCGGUAAACACAGCCUUUUGAAUAUAGAGAAGACAACGUAAUUGUAAAGAGGAAAUAAAUUGUUUCUCUCAUAUAUAUCUCCAGUAAUUUGAAGCGAUAAAUAUUUGAAAUAAAAGAUGUAUAACGUUAGUAUAUAUUCCCGUA